This 379-nucleotide transfer-messenger RNA is filed under the name Gammaproteobacteria (g-proteobacteria). Its description in RNAcentral is "JAHJQQ01 sp016218375 Standard tmRNA". It matches the Rfam family "transfer-messenger RNA". Rfam says of the family: Bacterial tmRNA, also known as 10Sa RNA or SsrA, is named for its dual tRNA and mRNA-like properties. Its role is to liberate the mRNA from a stalled ribosome. To accomplish this part of the tmRNA is used as a reading frame that ends in a translation stop signal. RNAcentral also lists the same sequence under 1 other name. Lineage: Bacteria; Pseudomonadati; Pseudomonadota. The record is from RNAcentral.
GGGGGCGACCUGGCUUCGACGUGGGUUGCGAACCCUGAGGUGCAUGCCGAGGUGCAAAGCCCUCGUAAAACACUCUGCAAACUUUUAGUUGCCAACGACGACAACUACGCACUCGCUGCUUAAUACCCAGUAGGGUGCCGUCUGACCGGGGCCGUGCUUGUGCGCCCGGGCCUUCCGAGCAAUCGGGGGCAUCAGGCGUCGAUUCUCACAAGAUCGCGGUGCGGUUCUCCCAGGGCCAAUCCUCUAAAACUAACUGGGAUCGCCGUUUGUUUUCCCUGCCCGUCGGGUAGCAGGCGGUUAAACUAAUAGACUGGAUAAGCAUGUAGAGCCAAAGGCAGAGGACUUACGGACGCGGGUUCGAUUCCCGCCGCCUCCACCA